GCCGAGGUGGCGGAAUUGGCAGACGCGCGAGACUCAAAAUCUCGUGGUACGUAAGUACCGUGUGGGUUCGACUCCCACCUUCGGCA
RNAcentral lists this transfer RNA (86 nucleotides) under Patescibacteria group bacterium. RNAcentral describes it as "tRNA-Leu". It matches the Rfam family "tRNA". From Rfam's summary of the family: Transfer RNA (tRNA) molecules are approximately 80 nucleotides in length. Their secondary structure includes four short double-helical elements and three loops (D, anti-codon, and T loops). The record is from RNAcentral.